CACGCAGCUUACACAUGCAAGUCGAGCGCACCUUCGGGUGAGCGGCGGACGGGUUAGUAACGCGUGGGAACAUACCCUUUGGUACGGAAUAGCCUCUGGAAACGGAGAGUAAUACCGUAUGAGCCCUUCGGGGGAAAGAUUUAUCGCCAAAGGAUUGGCCCGCGUUAGAUUAGGUAGUUGGUGGGGUAAUGGCCUACCAAGCCUACGAUCUAUAGCUGGUUUUAGAGGAUGAUCAGCAACACUGGGACUGAGACACGGCCCAGACUCCUACGGGAGGCAGCAGUGGGGAAUCUUGGACAAUGGGGGCAACCCUGAUCCAGCCAUGCCGCGUGAGUGAUGAAGGCCUUAGGGUCGUAAAGCUCUUUCGCCUGUGAAGAUAAUGACGGUAGCAGGUAAAGAAACCCCGGCUAACUCCGUGCCAGCAGCCGCGGUAAUACGGAGGGGGUUAGCGUUGUUCGGAAUUACUGGGCGUAAAGCGCACGUAGGCGGACUGGAAAGUUGGGGGUGAAAUCCCAGGGCUCAACCCUGGAACUGCCUCCAAAACUAUCAGUCUAGAGUUCGAGAGAGGUGAGUGGAAUUCCGAGUGUAGAGGUGAAAUUCGUAGAUAUUCGGAGGAACACCAGUGGCGAAGGCGGCUCACUGGCUCGAUACUGACGCUGAGGUGCGAAAGUGUGGGGAGCAAACAGGAUUAGAUACCCUGGUAGUCCACACCCGCAAACGAUGAUGCCAGUCGUCGGGUAGCAUGCUAUUGGUGACCACACCUAACGGGAUUAAGCAUUCCGCACUGGGGGAGUACGGUCGCAUGAUUAAAAAUUCAAAGGAAUUGACCGGGGGCCCGCACAACGGUGGAACAUUGUGGGAUUUAUUUCGAUGUGACUGCAGAAACCUUUACUAACCCUUGACAUCCUUAGGACCGGGCCGAGAGAUGGGUCU
This 933-nucleotide ribosomal RNA is filed under the name marine bacterium CS-64. RNAcentral describes it as "bacterial SSU rRNA". It matches the Rfam family "Bacterial small subunit ribosomal RNA", at positions 43 to 1013 of the family's 1533-position model. The record is from RNAcentral.